GAUGAACGCUAGCUACAGGCUUAACACAUGCAAGUCGAGGGGAAACGACAUCGAAAGCUUGCUUUUGAUGGGCGUCGACCGGCGCACGGGUGAGUAACGCGUAUCCAACCUGCCCACCACUUGGGGAUAACCUUGCGAAAGUAAGACUAAUACCUAAUGAUAUCUCUAGAAGACAUCUGAAAGGGAUUAAAGAUUUAUCGGUGAUGGAUGGGGAUUCGUCUGAUUGGCUUGUGGGCGGGGUAACGGCCCACCAAGGGGGCGAUCAGUAGGGGUUCUGAGAGGAAGGUCCCCCACAUGGGAACGGAGACACGGACCAAACUCCUACGGGAGGCAGCAGUGAGGAAUGUUGGUCAAUGGACGGGAGUCUGAACCAGCCAGGUAGCGUGCAGGAUGACGGCCCUAUGGGUUGUAAACUGCUUUUAUAAGGGAAUAAAGUGAGUCUCGUGAGACUUUUUGCAUGUACCUUAUGAAUAAGGACCGGCUAAUUCCGUGCCAGCAGCCGCCGUAA
Molecule: ribosomal RNA, 508 nt
Filed under: uncultured bacterium
Lineage: Bacteria
Description: partial 16S ribosomal RNA
Rfam family: Bacterial small subunit ribosomal RNA
Source: RNAcentral